GGUCGAGCAAGGAUGAAAAUCGGACUUAGUGAUCCGGUGGUUCUGCGUGGAAGGGCCAUCGCUCAACGGAUAAAAGCUACCCUGGGGAUAACAGGCUUAUCUCCCCCAAGAGUCCACAUCGACGGGGAGGUUUGGCACCUCGAUGUCGGCUCAUCACAUCCUGGGGCUGUAGUAGGUCCCAAGGGUUGGGCUGUUCGCCCAUUAAAGUGGUACGCGAGCUGGGUUCAGAACGUCGUGAGACAGUUCGGUCC
This 251-nucleotide ribosomal RNA is filed under the name Clostridioides difficile. RNAcentral describes it as "partial 23S ribosomal RNA". It matches the Rfam family "Bacterial large subunit ribosomal RNA", at positions 2387 to 2637 of the family's 2925-position model. The record is from RNAcentral. Lineage: Bacteria; Bacillati; Bacillota; Clostridia; Peptostreptococcales; Peptostreptococcaceae.